RNAcentral lists this ribosomal RNA (331 nucleotides) under uncultured bacterium. Its description in RNAcentral is "bacterial SSU rRNA". It matches the Rfam family "Bacterial small subunit ribosomal RNA", at positions 568 to 898 of the family's 1533-position model. The record is from RNAcentral.
UCCGUAGGCGGUGUGGCAAGUCGGUAGUGAAAUCUCUCGGCUUAACUGAGAGGCUGCUGCCGAAACUGCCAUGCUCGAGUGCGAGAGAGGCGAGUGGAAUUGCGGGUGUAGCGGUGAAAUGCGUAGAUAUCCGCAGGAACAUCCGAGGCGAAAGCGGCUCGCUGGAUCGCAACUGACGCUGAGGGACGAAAGCUAGGGGAGCAAACAGGAUUAGACUACCCUGGUAGUCCUAGCCCUAAACCAUCAGGACUUGGGGUUUGCCCUGUACGGGGCAAGUCCCGGAGCUAACGCGUUAAGUCCUGCGCCUGGGGAGUACGGUCGCAAGGCUGAA